This 252-nucleotide long non-coding RNA is filed under the name Helianthus annuus (common sunflower). RNAcentral's name for it is "sRNA HanXRQr2_Chr05g0198421". Lineage: Eukaryota; Viridiplantae; Streptophyta; Magnoliopsida; Asterales; Asteraceae. The record is from RNAcentral.
UAAAAUAUUUGGAACAUGAUGAAGUAGUUUACAUAACUGCUUUUCUUGAAUCUGUAAAGGAAGAAUCUAAGCAACAGGGUGAAAGCAUUGAAAGGAAAAUGUACCACUCCAUUUUUAGUAACAUUUGAUGCAAAAAUUCGUUUCAUUUACUUGUAUUUGCUCCAAACUUUGAGUGCAGAAUAAUGGGUGAAAUGAUGCAGCAAUAUGCCUAAGGAUUCAAAGAAGUCACACAAUGAAUUACUGCCUUACUGA